Molecule: long non-coding RNA, 3221 nt
Organism: Gadus morhua (Atlantic cod)
Lineage: Eukaryota; Metazoa; Chordata; Actinopteri; Gadiformes; Gadidae
Source: Ensembl
AUGUUUUUUUUUUUCGAAAAGGGCCUAUACAUAUUUCAAAUAAACACAGCAAAGAUUUUUAAAUUUCAACCAAAUGUUGUUUUCUACCUCUGGGGAAACAUUAAGUUGGUGUUUAGUUUAAAAUAUGACAAGAGAUUACUUUCACAAAAUUUACUUGCUGUGUUUGUUUUACCAGUUUCCCAGUCGUUCGAACCUUCUCACCAGAUCCUGAGCGAGAACAUUGCUUUGGCAAUCAUCUUGCCAAUCAUCCUGGUCAUCCUUCUAAUUGGAGGAAUUUACAUGUAUUAUACAAAAUCCUCAUCAUUCAUUGGCUCAUCCAAAGGUCGCUCUCCAUUGUCAUUCUGCUCGCCUCAACCAGCCAGAAUCGACGUGCCUGUUUAACACCAUGCUUCAUCUGUAGACUGGAAUGGAAGCCUCUUUUCUGGAAGACCUUUUCCCAUACACACUCUUAUAGUCCGAUAACAGUGGAGUCAGAUUUCAACAACCCUCUGUAUGAGGCUGGGGUGAGUCCCUCUCUAAAUACUAUGGAAGAUUAAUAUUUUUCCACAUUAUGUAGGUUGUUAUUUUUAUAACGUAUUUUUCAGUUUGAAACAUUGCUAGAUCACGCAUCAAUGUUUAUGACAAAUAUUAAAUGAUGCCAAAACGCUAUCACAACUGUACGGUAAAACCAAUGUAUCUUUCUCUAAAAGUUUUUCUCUUCUCGUUUUCUCCAGGAUACACGAGAAUAUGAAGUAUCCAUUUAAUGGAGUGAGAGAGAGAAACAAAACUCUUUCCAAACCACAAAGAUUAAUAAAAACAAAACAUACUCCAAGAGGGCCAGUACCCGUGUAAUACUCUUCUCCAUGUAUUUAUUUUGUACUACCCACCGUGACCCCAAACAUAGCCCUGUAAUGUGAUCCAUCAGAGGCGUUGUGGGUCUCCUCUCUGCCGCCUGACUUGCUCCGUCAUUGAGAUUGGUGCCUUGCGAAAAAAAGUAGGUUUCAAAAUGAAAAAAACUACCAAAACGAUGUGAAAACUUUGCAAUACUAGACACUGGUCAAUGCAAAAACAGGCAUGAACGAACAUUGUGGUUCAUUUUAUUUAUUAACAAUUCAUAUUAAAUCUAAAUAUGAAUAAAGAUGCAUAGAUAUAUCCAUAUUUACAUAACACAUAAUGCUCAUUAAUCACCAGUAUUUCUGAUUUGUUUCUACCCCUGUAUCUGUAAGGUUUCUGUAUAAUAUAAACUCACCCAGACACAUACAUUGAAUGUAAAUAUUUAACCUAUUAUUGAGGCUCAUAUAUAUAAAUAUAUAAAUAUAUACACUUAUACAUGGUGGGGGUUGGGGUUGGGUGUAUUUUCAUUAUAUAUCUGUAAUGAACAAUUCAGUGCCAAAAUAUAAAGUUGCAUAAUUUAGUGUUUCAUCUCUUGUUGCCAUAGUGUUUAAGACAUGGAUAUUUAGAAAGCCAGCAUUUAAUUUAAAUCUUUGCUGUUUUUGGAGUGUAUUUUUCACAUGACAAUGUGGAUCCGGCUGCAGCAUAAUGACAUGAAUGUCAUUAUGUGUACAUGCCUACACGCAGCAUGCACUGAUUGUAAAUGACAUUGCUUCUACCGAAACGUUCCAUUAUAGUUAUUGGACAUUGACAUUGUUAUCAGAUUUGAUGUUGUAUGCACUAUGUUGAUGGGGUGUGGGGGGGGGGGGGGGGAUACAACCUUGGCUGCUUGCUCUAAUACAUUAUGUAUUUAUUUACAACUGUUUGAACAGUGAACUUAGCGCCUUUCACUGUGUCAUAUAUGAAGAAUUCUGGGGACAGCGGCUUUGUAGAGAAUAUUCUUCUGUUAUCAUUAGUAGUUUUAUUUGCUUUAUAGAUACACACUCUUUUAAAGGAGUUCCUUUUGCUGAACUUGAAAUAAAGUCUGUUGAAUGGUGUUAUUACUGUGUUGUGUUCCCUGUUCUUAGUAUGCAUUGGGUUCUGAAACAGAUCAAACUUUAUUAUUAUUAUUAUUAUUAUUAUUAUUAUCAUCAUUAUCAUACUAGCUAUAAGUCAAAGAAAGUUAAGGCAAAAGAUGGAAAAAUGCUAAUGAUUUCAAAGGUUUCCCGGAAUCACGCUUUCAAACCAAUAGGGGGCGAUAUUUCGACUGUUGUCAACUCUUGGCACUGCUGCUAAUUCCAUUUUGAACCGGAUGAAUAACAUGCAAUAUCAGCGGAAGUUCCUUAUCAAACGACUAUGCGGAUGUAUCAAAAUGAUCCUCUUUAAAUAUCCUUUAAUUUAACAGUGUAGAAGAGUUAAAAUCCUGAUGGUCUUUGUAGUUAUUUUUUUCGUAAUAAGUAAGAAGUGCUAGCGGUUUGAAUAUUGCUUUAUUUUUAAACCAAACGUUGGAAAUGAAUUGCCAAACGUUACCAGAAACACUGCCGUGAAUUAUUAUUAUACUCUUCCUUAUAAGCACUGGCUAAAUAUUCACGACUCAUCGACGUUAAUUGAAUUAUUUCAUUGGAUGUUGGUGUGGUAAGUUCACCUUUUGAAUAUUACCAAUGAGCAUUGCUGGCCAUAUGCUAUGUGUUAACGUUAACGUUUUUAAAAAACAGUUGAGGCAUACGUUUGCUCACCACUUGAGCAAAACAUAUAACAUUUAGCUUGAAAACAUUUGGGUAUUGAUGUGUAGUGCUGUGUCCAUGCGUCAUGCAAGUUCAGCCAACAUUAUACACAACAAUAAACAAUAAAACAACAAUAAAACAAUAAACCAACAAUACAUUUGGUUUAUUGUCAAGGGAAACGAUAUUCUAUUUCCGGUUGUUUUGUUGGUUCUAUAGAACUGACAGUAUUUCGAUUUUUUUAUUGCUAUACAAUUUCAGUUCUAUAUAGAGCUUGGGUUUGCUAUGUAAGGAAAUCAAAUAAAAAUAAAAGGAUAACGCUCUGGUUGUUUGUGGUACAACAAAAGAUUAUUAGGACUUUAGGAGUUAUCAGGCGUCAUAUAAGUGCACCCGGCCUAAACUAAGACUUCUGUCCAGUCUAACAUUUGCAGAUGCUUAUAUAUGUGUGUGUGUGUGUGUGUGUGUGUGUGUGUGUGUGUGUGUGUGUGUGUGUGUGUGUGUGUGUGUGUGUGUGUGUGUGUGUGUGUGUGUGUGUGUGAUACUGAACCACACAUGACCCUCUACCUCUACCUUUCACCCACACCACGUUACUGAAAGGCUGGCUCUUUGAUAUACUAUAAACUAUUCGUUGAAAGAGAGGAAUACAAAUGA